GCGGCGUUAGUGUCAAUCAAAAUAAAUAUUUGAUCGUAUUUGAAAGCGCUGCAGUUUGUUGAAAUCGGUUUGAAUAAUUAAGCAAUGGUCUGACUGUGAGCGGCGAACUAGGUCCCUGUGCCUUUAAGAACACUCGGUCUAGGGUGGCGCUUUCCUCCGCAAGGGCUUCUUGAUAUUAAUAGUGUUGGUGUCUUGAAACUGACGUAAUGCUUGGAGUCUGAGGUCCUGACAAGCGAUAACAUUUCUGAUAAAGAACUGAGAUCACUGCAAACUAACCUCCUUUUUUCCAUCCAGUCUCAGGCGUUUUUAAUAUCAAACACAGUCACCCCGAUUCCACUUGCACAGGAGAAAUUCGAAAUCUUAGAUCCCCCCUAACAACAACAAAAAAAGAAAUAAUACCCCGAGAUCAACAAACAAACAACACAAAGACGGUUCAUGGCUUACGCCAAAGCUCCACCAUCUUUCAGACUGCAAAGACUAUUGCAAUUUAAUCAACAGGUAAGGAGAAAGCGAAUCAAUGAACAUUACGAGGAUGGCAGACAACAAUGAGAUGUGAAUUUGCAGUAGUUCCUGAAUGCUGAAUCGCUUUUUAGAAGCGAAUGUUAUGUAAUGUUGAAAGAGCUAAGGGAUUUCGUGAAUCAGUUGUGAGCUACUUUGCUGUGAAAAAAGAGCAGGGCUUCUCGGAUUUCACAUGGCAUUUAGGUUUUGUUGGGUCAAACGCAUGAGAAAUUGAAAUUGGCUACUUGCUACAAGCAGUAGCCCCAGAGUGGUCACGUUCACAGACAAGGAAGAAAAACAUGAGUUCCAAUAGGUUUGUGGCUUACUUUUUCCUUCCCAUUUCUUGAAAUCCUUUUAUUUCAUUCUGUUGAAAUGCAGUCGCGUUGAGGUGUUGUAAAUUCGAACGUAUGGUGUAGUCUAUGUGGAAGCUAUAGCAUUUGAAGUCUGUGCUAACGCGGUCCUAUUUCAGAUGUGACAAGAUGUGGAGUCUUCUUUGCCGCAGCGCGUGUAUUUAUUUUCAUUGUUUGUGAGAAAGCGCAUGAAACAAAAACAACAUUUCGUUUGAAAAGGUAUUACAAGUACAUAUAUACUACUACUGGUGAAUCUGCUUCGAUCCAUGGUCUUUGGGAAUACCUGGGAAUUUGUCAUCUUGUGAAGUAGUGCACUCACUGUAAGUAUUUUUGUGGUCGCUUCCUAACUUCUGAGGAAACUUUCCCUUUUCUCCUUUGAAGACGACUUGCAAAUGACUGAUGUAAUUUUAAUCCAUGUAUACUUCGAAGUUGAUUUAUGAUUAUGCAUUCACCUUUCCACUGAACUAGAACUACGGGAGGAAACUUUUCCUCUCUCCCUCCAGUAAGAGAAAAAGGUUUCGCAAAUAUAUUCUCCUUGCCCUGUUAACAGAAACUACCAAAGACAUUUUACUCAGUCUGAUAAAGGAAAACCUAACUCUAUAAAAGAUUGAGAUGAAACAGAUGCCACUGUAUGAUUAAAUAUAGGGUCA
This is a long non-coding RNA of Clupea harengus (Atlantic herring), 1498 nucleotides long. NCBI's taxonomy places the organism in Eukaryota, Metazoa, Chordata, Actinopteri, Clupeiformes, Clupeidae. The record is from Ensembl.